AUGUCAGAUGAUCGUAUAUUUGAGUUUGUUAUAUUUGCCGAAUGUUAUCCAAAUGUCUCAAUUUCUUACCACAUUAUCUUAACUGUGCAUGUGACUGUAGCAUCAUUUGAAUGAAGUUUUUUUAAACUGAAGUUAUUGAAAAUUAUUUGA
This 150-nucleotide ribosomal RNA is filed under the name Triticum aestivum (bread wheat). Its description in RNAcentral is "partial small subunit ribosomal RNA". The record is from RNAcentral. Lineage: Eukaryota; Viridiplantae; Streptophyta; Magnoliopsida; Poales; Poaceae.